Molecule: small nuclear RNA, 96 nt
Filed under: Heterocephalus glaber (naked mole-rat)
Lineage: Eukaryota; Metazoa; Chordata; Mammalia; Rodentia; Bathyergidae
Source: RNAcentral
UUGUUUUGGCAGCACAGUGAAACUGGAAGGAUUCAGAGAUCAGGAUGGCCCGUGUACUAAGAUGGCAUGUGAACUGGUGAAGAAUUGCAUAUUUUU